This 557-nucleotide ribosomal RNA is filed under the name uncultured bacterium. RNAcentral describes it as "bacterial SSU rRNA". It matches the Rfam family "Bacterial small subunit ribosomal RNA", at positions 119 to 674 of the family's 1533-position model. The record is from RNAcentral.
AAGCAACCUGCCCACUACUGGGGGAUAGCCUUGCGAAAGCGGGGGUAAACCCGCAUGGUCCUUUUUUCUCACCUGAGGAGCUAGGUAAACAUUUAUGGGUAGUGGAGGGGCUUGCGUCUGAUUAGCUAGUUGGCGGGGUGAAGGCCCACCAAGGCGACGAUCAGUAGGGGUUCUGAGAGGAUUGGCCCCCACAUGGGUACUGAGACACGGACCCAACUCCUACGGGAGGCAGCAGUAGGGAAUAUUGGGCAAUGGAGGCAACUCUGACCCAGCCAUGCCGCGUGCAGGAUGAAGGCGCUCAGCGUUGUAAACUGCUUUUAACUGGGAAGAACGGCAUUUUUGCGAAGAUGUGUGACGGUACCAGUGGAAUAAGCACCGGCUAACUCUGUGCCAGCAGCCGCGGUAAUACAGAGGGUGCGAGCGUUAAUCGGAUUUACUGGGCGUAAAGGGCGCGUAGGUGGUUAUGUAAGUGAGAUGUGAAAUCCCUGGGCUUAACCUAGGAACUGCAUCUCAUACUGCGUAGCUAGAGUAUUGUAGAGGGUAGUGGAAUUUCCGGU